Long non-coding RNA from Culex quinquefasciatus (southern house mosquito), 368 nucleotides. RefSeq lists it as uncharacterized. The transcript is spliced from 3 exons. NCBI's taxonomy places the organism in Eukaryota, Metazoa, Arthropoda, Insecta, Diptera, Culicidae. The record is from RefSeq and is a predicted model, not a curated record.
GAGAUUUUGCGGAUUAUUAAGGAGGAAAAGUAAGAGUUGUAGUUUUAAUAUUGAAAUUUAUUGAAACAGUGCAACGUAGAAAACCUGUAAGUAGAAGAAAACAAAAUUAGUGCAGUUUAAGAAGAAUUUAAACACUAGAUACUUACCAACAGCGAAAAGGUCCCGCGAGCUGCUCUGCCGUUUCGCACCGUCACUUGGGGCGAAUCUGUACUUCGGUGAUCCGAAGAGUGCAAAGAAGGAAAGUUAGGAAGAGGAAGAGGAGGAGUUGGAAAGGAAGAGGAAACGCUAACGUAGGAAAGGAAACCAAUUAACUGCUCGAAGAGCUGCUGAACAAAAAGUUGGGGUUUUAUUUACCGACCACCCGAACA